UAGUGGCGAACGGGUGAGUAACACGUGGGCAAUCUGCCCUUCACUCUGGGACAAGCCCUGGAAACGGGGUCUAAUACCGGAUAUGAGCCUGGGAGGCAUCUCCUGGGUUGUAAAGCUCCGGCGGUGAAGGAUGAGCCCGCGGCCUAUCAGCUUGUUGGUGAGGUAAUGGCUCACCAAGGCGACGACGGGUAGCCGGCCUGAGAGGGCGACCGGCCACACUGGGACUGAGACACGGCCCAGACUCCUACGGGAGGCAGCAGUGGGGAAUAUUGCACAAUGGGCGGAAGCCUGAUGCAGCGACGCCGCGUGAGGGAUGACGGCCUUCGGGUUGUAAACCUCUUUCAGCAGGGAAGAAGCGUGAGUGACGGUACCUGCAGAAGAAGCGCCGGCUAACUACGUGCCAGCAGCCGCGGUAAUACGUAGGGCGCAAGCGUUGUCCGGAAUUAUUGGGCGUAAAGAGCUCGUAGGCGGCUUGUCGCGUCGAUUGUGAAAGCCCGGGGCUUAACUCCGGGUCUGCAGUCGAUACGGGCUAGCUAGAGUGUGGUAGGGGAGAUCGGAAUUCCU
This 564-nucleotide ribosomal RNA is filed under the name Streptomyces sp. 418D03. RNAcentral's name for it is "bacterial SSU rRNA". It matches the Rfam family "Bacterial small subunit ribosomal RNA", at positions 93 to 671 of the family's 1533-position model. The record is from RNAcentral. Lineage: Bacteria; Bacillati; Actinomycetota; Actinomycetes; Kitasatosporales; Streptomycetaceae.